UAAUUCUCUCUGAUUUCUCUGCCGACUCCACAUUUCUUUUUCGCUUCGUCUCCUCCCCUUCUUCACCCAGCCAAACCUUCUCUUCUUUUCCUUUUCAUCGCCAAAGCCUCCGAGUCUUCCUCUCUUCUCUUCCAUCCUUGCCCAAGUGCCAGCGACGCUCGAGCCACCGCCGGUCGAACCUAUCUCCUCUGGAGUCUCAGCCGACGCUGCUCUCCCGUCUGCUUAGAUCCGUCGACCACCAGUCGUCGGCAAUGACGCCGACGAGCUCGACGAGCAGGGAGCAACACUAAGCGCAGGUUUCCUUCCCUUCGCUGGAGACCAGGGCGAUGACGCAGUCGACCCCUUAUUCAGCCGCCGUGCCCUAGCAUCAGUUGCCGAUUCUUAUUUUUCUUACUCUCUGGUCGUGGGGAUCUUGGACAGAAGAUAACUUCCUUCAUCAGAUCCUUGAUCACCACCAUUAAUUGGAGAGUAAUAUGCAGAUCUAGAUUUGGGCAAGUAAAAAGGAAUAGGGCAUCAGUAAACCUCUGUUGACAGCUGCGUAUUACCAUUAACCACCUUCGAAUUGGGGAUUCGUAUUCGGGACGAGCACAUCGACAUAGAGGUUGAUUAGCUCGAUUUACAUUGGAGGCGGGU
Molecule: long non-coding RNA, 633 nt
Organism: Zingiber officinale
Lineage: Eukaryota; Viridiplantae; Streptophyta; Magnoliopsida; Zingiberales; Zingiberaceae
Exons: 3
Source: RefSeq, a predicted model, not a curated record